RNAcentral lists this ribosomal RNA (500 nucleotides) under uncultured Myrionecta. RNAcentral describes it as "SSU rRNA". It matches the Rfam family "Eukaryotic small subunit ribosomal RNA", at positions 34 to 600 of the family's 1831-position model. Lineage: Eukaryota; Ciliophora; Litostomatea; Cyclotrichida; Mesodiniidae. The record is from RNAcentral.
CUAUUUAAGAUAGCCAUGCACGUCUAAGUACAAACUAAAUGAUGGUGAAACUGCAAAUGGCUCAUUACAACGGUUAUGAUGUACCCGGGAGUUCCGAUGGAUAUUUCCAGUAACACUAGAACUAAUACAUGUCCCUGCGUUUAUUAGUUUCGCACAGUCCGUCGCUGAGUCAUGGUAAACAGUUGAUCGACUCGACGUCCCGGAACAGUUUCCGCCCCAUCAGCUUCGAUGGUUGGGUAUUGGCCUACCAUUGCAACAACGGGUAACGAGGAAUUAGGGUUUGAUUUCGGAGAGGGAGCCUGAGAAACGGCUACCACAUCUACGGAUGGCAGCAGGCGCGCAAAUUACCCAAUGCAGACACUGUGAGGUAGUGACGAGAAAUAAUAAAGCGGGACUUCUGUUUCGCUAUUAUAAUGAGGAAUAACCAAAGGUCAUUCCGAUUAGCAACUGAUGGGAAAGUCUGGUGCCAGCAGCCGCGGUAAUACCAGCGUCAGUAGCAU